CUGCUUGCACGCUGCCAACAGCGCCGGCGUGAACCCGUGCGAGAGUACGCGGAUCGGUUUCGUGACCUGGCGUCGCAGCUGUCGCUCAAUACCUCUGACCCCGUCCAUACCUUCUCCUUCCUUCGUGGGCUACAACCGGACAUCUACGAUCAGGUGUUCUUGCUGAGGCCCAAGACACUUGAAGAAGCAAUUCACGACGCCAUCUACAUUGAGGAAGGCUCGCAAUGCUACUCUGCACCAAGCAGCCGCAGUCACCGGUGGCGUGACCAGUCUCCCGGCCGCCGCCAUGGCCGCAACAGGGACCGGCGGUUCACGGACUGCCACUACCGCUCGUACGAUGAGUCUCAUUACUACGGCAGCCGUCCGUCACGACAUGGGCGCUACUCAUCGCCAUCAACACAACCCCAAGCAAACCGCGGGCGAGGUCACGACCAUCAUGACGUGCAACAAGUCGACUUGUACGACGCCGAUCAAGCGGAUGAAGCCGCUCUUGAGGGUCUUGCCGCUCACAUGGCACGGCUGAUGCGCCUGUUGGAGGAGGUGACAGGGCAAGGACCUCACAUGUUGGACAUGGCGCGAGACAGUCGUUACUACGAGGAAGAUACGUGCUACGUGCCGUAUGAGGAGUAUGAAACACACCCUGACGCCGAGCGAGGGGGCGAGCAGGUGACCGUCCCUUCCACACAACCGUAUGCGCCGGACACCCCUGAGCUCACACCAUAUUCCACACCUGUAACUGCGCUUGCGCACCCACCUCGCGCCACCUUCCCGACGCACGUUUACGUCAUGCAGCAGACCGUAUCCCCGCCGCCAGCAGUAAUACGGGAUGACACGCCCCAGCGGGCAUAUCACUUGGAGCAGAUUCCCGCGCAGCAGCCCGCGCAACCUGCGGAGGAGAGCCAUGAUGGUGCAAGCGAGGACGUGAAAGGCGUGGACAUGUACCCCAUGCCGUUGCAUCCAACACUCGGAUGGGACGCCGUAUGCAAUCAGGACCCGGCGCAGCCCAUCGAGAGCGCACCUACUGUAAACCCCGGCAGUUCCGUGCCUGGUGUCCAAUCGUCACUCCAACACUUGCCAACCGUGGAAAGGGAUACGCCCGUGCUCGAGUCGCCCGACACCCGCGAGAGGCUUACUCGGGAGUCACCCGCUGUGCAGCAGAUGCCGCCAGCAGCGCCGUAUUUGCCUGAGCACGCCUCGACACCACAGCUUCAGCAGACAGCGCUCCCGUCAGCUCCGCCGGCGGCUUGGCUUGCUUGUACGCCGCCGCGUGCUUGCCUUGAUGCCUCGACAGGGCAACCUGCCGAUAUGACAAGGUGUCAGGGGAAUCGCCAGUCAGAUGAGCUGCACGCGCCAGGUCUGAACACGACGGCCGCCGAGCUCCCAACCGUUACUCCCCGGUCAUCCAUCUUUCAUGCUCAAGGCUGUUGCGACACGCCACUUGUACCGCCAACCUUGCCACCAACCAGCGACACGGUGUUGGAGCUGCCACCCAAACCCAUGUUCCGUUCCCCUGACGAAGCACCAAAGUUGUCCACGGGACCCGAGCUCCCCUUUCACGUCCAGCUAUCGCUUGAUGCGAUUCGUCUCCUUCCGGCCCUGUCAAGCGCUCACCUGGCCGCGCAGGCGCCCGAUCGUGGGACGUGUGGCCUGCAACACACCGCCAUGUGGGACGUACUGCAAGACGGCAUGAGGAUGGGAGAGCAACGACAAGACGGCACGCCUAGUCAGGAGGACUCACGUCCUGUCACGCCCGCUGUGUGGCACCGGUACCCCCUGCCGCGCAACAUGGGCACUUCGCCUCGCAAACCCUCAACGAAUUAUAAGGUUGCUGGCCUACUGUACGCCCUGCUGCAUCGGGUCCUAUACCACACGGUCCUGGGCAAGAGCGACAACCACUCGCGGAGCAGCAGUCUCGACUCACCUGCUUUCAUGGCUGAGCACUCCGCUGAUGCAACAUGCACGUAUGAGGCGCCGGCGCCCACGCCACCACCGGAACCACCGCCGCGUGUGUGUACGGCAGCAUCAAACACCGCCACACGGACACCACAGCCCCGCCACCUGUGCAAGGGAGACCGUCGCACUUAAUAUCAGCAGGCCAAACUAGAAACGAAAUCUGGGAGCGAGGGAACUUUGUUUGGCAAACUCCGACCAGCAGCUGCCAACAUGGCGCUCACCAAAAGCUAGGGAGCUCUUGUACGCCGGUGUGACGCACGGAUGAUAAUCUGGAGCAGGCAAUUAGGAACGACUGGGAGGUAUCAAAGGCAGC
This 2266-nucleotide long non-coding RNA is filed under the name Chlamydomonas reinhardtii. RNAcentral describes it as "long non-coding RNA (CREI_LNC001162)". The record is from RNAcentral. Lineage: Eukaryota; Viridiplantae; Chlorophyta; Chlorophyceae; Chlamydomonadales; Chlamydomonadaceae.